Molecule: ribosomal RNA, 253 nt
Filed under: uncultured bacterium
Lineage: Bacteria
Description: partial 16S ribosomal RNA
Rfam family: Bacterial small subunit ribosomal RNA
Source: RNAcentral
UACGAAGGGGGCGAGCGUUAUUCGGAAUCACUGGGCGUAAAGCGUGCGUAGGCUGUUUGACAAGUUGGGAGUGAAAGCCCAGGGCUCAACCCUGGAAUUGCUCUCAAAACUGUCAGACUCGAAUCUCGGAGAGGAUAGCGGAAUUUCCAGUGUAGUAGUGAAAUACGUAGAUAUUGGAAGGAACACCAGUGGCGAAAGCGGCUAUCUGGACGAGUAUUGACGCUGAGGCACGAAAGCGUGGGGAUCAAACAGG